This 460-nucleotide ribosomal RNA is filed under the name uncultured bacterium. RNAcentral describes it as "bacterial SSU rRNA". It matches the Rfam family "Bacterial small subunit ribosomal RNA", at positions 1003 to 1467 of the family's 1533-position model. The record is from RNAcentral.
GAGAUCAGGGAGUGCUCGAAAGAGAACCAGUACACAGGUGCUGCAUGGCUGUCGUCAGCUCGUGUCGUGAGAUGUUGGGUUNAGUCCCGCAACGAGCGCAACCCUUGUCAUUAGUUGCUACGAAAGGGCACUCUAAUGAGACUGCCGGUGACAAACCGGAGGAAGGUGGGGAUGACGUCAAGUCCUCAUGGCCCUUAUGGGUAGGGCUUCACACGUCAUACAAUGGNACAUACAGAGCGCCGCCAACCCGCGAGGGGGAGCUAAUCGCAGAAAGUGUAUCGUAGUCCGGAUUGUAGUCUGCAACUCGACUGCAUGAAGUUGGAAUCGCUAGUAAUCGCGGAUCAGCAUGUCGCGGUGAAUACGUUCCCGGGUCUUGUACACACCGCCCGUCACACCAUGGGAGCGGGUUUUACCAGAAGUAGGUAGCUUAACCGUAAGGAGGGCGCUUACCACGGUAGGA